RNAcentral lists this ribosomal RNA (253 nucleotides) under uncultured bacterium. Its description in RNAcentral is "partial 16S ribosomal RNA". It matches the Rfam family "Bacterial small subunit ribosomal RNA", at positions 524 to 776 of the family's 1533-position model. The record is from RNAcentral.
UACAGAGGAGCCAAGCGUUGUCCGGAUUGACUGGGCGUAAAGCGCACGCAGGCGGGGGGGCGCGUGGGGUGUGAAAUCUGGCCGCUUAACGGCCAGGCGCCAUCCCAUACGGCACGCCUGGAGCCUUGCAGAGGUCGGUGGAAGUGCCGGUGUAGUGGUGAAAUGCGCAGAUAUCGGGAGGAACACCGGUGGCGAAGGCGGUUCUCUGGGCCUGUGCUGACGCUGAGGAGCGAAAGCGUGGGGAGCAAACAGG